AAGGAAUAACGUAGAGAAAUUUGCGCUAAUACCUUAUAAUGACUCCGGUCCAAAGAUUUAUCGCCGAGGGAUUAGCCCGCGCUAGAUUAGUUUGUUGGUGAGGUAAGAGCUCACCAAGACUACGAUCUAUAGCUGGUCUUAGAGGAUGAUCAGCCACACUGGUACUGAGACACGGACCAGACUCCUACGGGAGGCAGCAGUGAGGAAUAUUGCGCAAUGGAGGAAACUCUGACGCAGCCAUGCCGCGUGAGUGAAGAAGGCCCUAGGGUUGUAAAGCUCUUUCAGAUGCGAAGAUAAUGACGGUAACAUCAGAAGAAGCUCCGGCUAAAUUCGUGCCAGCAGCCGCGGUAAUACGAAUGGAGCGAGCGUUGUUCGGAAUCAUUGGGCGUAAAGCGUAUGUAGGCGGACUUGAAAGUCAGAAGUGAAAUCCCGAGGCUCAACCUCGGAAUUGCUUUUGAAACUCCAAGUCUCGAGUCCCGGAGGUUGACGGAAUUCCUAGUGUAGAGGUGAAAUUCGCAGAUAUUAGGAGGAACACCAGUGGCGUAGCGGUCAACUGGACGGGUACUGACGCUGAGAUACGAAAGCGUGGGGAGCAAACAGGAUUAGAUACCCUGGUAGUCCACGCCGUAAACGAUGUGUGCUAGUUGUCGGGUCCAUAGGAUUCGGUGACGCAGCUAACGCACUAAGCACACCGCCUGGGGAGUACGGUCGCAAGAUUAAAACUCAAAGGAAUUGACGGGGACCGCACAAGC
RNAcentral lists this ribosomal RNA (752 nucleotides) under uncultured bacterium. RNAcentral describes it as "bacterial SSU rRNA". It matches the Rfam family "Bacterial small subunit ribosomal RNA", at positions 138 to 930 of the family's 1533-position model. The record is from RNAcentral.